RNAcentral lists this ribosomal RNA (794 nucleotides) under Rhizobium hidalgonense. Its description in RNAcentral is "partial 23S ribosomal RNA". It matches the Rfam family "Bacterial large subunit ribosomal RNA", at positions 2137 to 2925 of the family's 2925-position model. The record is from RNAcentral. Lineage: Bacteria; Pseudomonadati; Pseudomonadota; Alphaproteobacteria; Hyphomicrobiales; Rhizobiaceae.
UGUAGGAUAGGUGGGAGGCUUUGAAUCUCGGACGCUAGUUCGAGGGGAGCCAACCUUGAAAUACCACCCUGGUAAUGUUGAGGUUCUAACCAUGAUCCGUCAUCCGGAUCUGGGACCAUGUCUGGUGGGUAGUUUGACUGGGGCGGUCUCCUCCUAAAGAGUAACGGAGGAGUACGAAGGUGCGCUCAGCGUGGUCGGAAAUCACGCGUAGAGUAUAAAGGCAAAAGCGCGCUUAACUGCGAGACCAACAAGUCGAGCAGGUACGAAAGUAGGUCUUAGUGAUCCGGUGGUUCUGUAUGGAAGGGCCAUCGCUCAACGGAUAAAAGGUACUCUGGGGAUAACAGGCUGAUACCGCCCAAGAGUUCAUAUCGACGGCGGUGUUUGGCACCUCGAUGUCGGCUCAUCUCAUCCUGGGGCUGAAGCAGGUCCCAAGGGUAUGGCUGUUCGCCAUUUAAAGAGGUACGCGAGCUGGGUUUAGAACGUCGUGAGACAGUUCGGUCCCUAUCUACCAUGGGCGCUGGAAAUUUGAGAGGAUCUGCUCCUAGUACGAGAGGACCAGAGUGGACGAACCUCUGGUGUUCCGGUUGUCACGCCAGUGGCAUUGCCGGGUAGCUAUGUUCGGAAGGGAUAAGUGCUGAAAGCAUCUAAGUACGAAGCCCACCUCAAGAUUAGAUUUCCCCGAGGUUUUAUACCUCCUAAAGAGCCGUUGAAGACUACGACGUUGAUAGGUUGGGUGUGGAAGUGCAGCGAUGCAUGAAGCUAACCAAUACUAAUUGCUCGUGAGGCUUGACUAU